CUUGACUCAAACAUUCCUUUCACUCAUCAAUGACACCAUCCUUUCUUUAUUGCCUUUCAAUUUAGCCCCCAAAAACGACUCUCCAAGUCAUCUCUCUCUCUCUCUCUCUCUCUCUCUCUCUCUCUUCUUUUCAAUAAUCUUUGUCUCUUCAGCUUAGGUUUUCUUUUCUUUAUUACUAUACUUAUCCUCACUCUGUGAGUGAACCUCCAGAAAUUUUCAACCCCAAAAUGCUUUCACUGCUCGAGUUCCAAAAGAGACCAUAGAAUGGUUAAUGAAAGUGAUUUGGUCAUUAUUGGAGUUUCUGCUGGUUUGGCCCUUGGUAUCUUGAUAGCUUCGCUAGUAUUUUUUGGC
Molecule: unclassified non-coding RNA, 351 nt
Filed under: Hevea brasiliensis (rubber tree)
Lineage: Eukaryota; Viridiplantae; Streptophyta; Magnoliopsida; Malpighiales; Euphorbiaceae
Source: RNAcentral